Molecule: ribosomal RNA, 253 nt
Filed under: uncultured bacterium
Lineage: Bacteria
Description: partial 16S ribosomal RNA
Rfam family: Bacterial small subunit ribosomal RNA
Source: RNAcentral
UACGGGGGGGGCAAGCGUUGUUCGGAAUUACUGGGCGUAAAGGGCUCGUAGGCGGCCAACUAAGUCGGACGUGAAAUCCCUCGGCUUAACCGGGGAACUGCGUCCGAUACUGGAUGGCUUGAGUUUGGGAGAGGGAUGCGGAAUUCCAGGUGUAGCGGUGGAAUGCGCAGAUAUCAGGAGGAACACCAAUAGCGAAGGCAGCUCGCUGGGACGUUACUGACACUGAGGCGCGAAAGCGUGGGGAGCGAACAGG